RNAcentral lists this transfer RNA (68 nucleotides) under Polypedilum yongsanensis. Its description in RNAcentral is "tRNA-Leu". Lineage: Eukaryota; Metazoa; Arthropoda; Insecta; Diptera; Chironomidae. The record is from RNAcentral.
ACUAUUUUAGCAAAUAAAUGCAUUAAAUUUAGAAUUUAAAGAUAUAAAAAUUAAUUUUAUAGAUAGUA